AGAGUUUGAUCAUGGCUCAGAUUGAACGCUGGCGGCAGGCCUAACACAUGCAAGUCGAGCGGUAGCACAGAGAGCUUGCUCUCGGGUGACGAGUGGCGGACGGGUGAGUAAUGUCUGGGAAACUGCCUGAUGGAGGGGGAUAACUACUGGAAACGGUAGCUAAUACCGCAUAACGUCGCAAGACCAAAGUGGGGGACCUUCGGGCCUCAUGCCAUCAGAUGUGCCCAGAUGGGAUUAGCUAGUAGGUGGGGUAACGGCUCACCUAGGCGACGAUCCCUAGCUGGUCUGAGAGGAUGACCAGCCACACUGGAACUGAGACACGGUCCAGACUCCUACGGGAGGCAGCAGUGGGGAAUAUUGCACAAUGGGCGCAAGCCUGAUGCAGCCAUGCCGCGUGUGUGAAGAAGGCCUUCGGGUUGUAAAGCACUUUCAGCGGGGAGGAAGGCGGUGAGAUUAAUAACCUCAUCGAUUGACGUUACCCGCAGAAGAAGCACCGGCUAACUCCGUGCCAGCAGCCGCGGUAAUACGGAGGGUGCAAGCGUUAAUCGGAAUUACUGGGCGUAAAGCGCACGCAGGCGGUCUGUCAAGUCGGAUGUGAAAUCCCCGGGCUCAACCUGGGAACUGCAUUCGAAACUGGCAGGCUAGAGUCUUGUAGAGGGGGGUGGAAUUCCAGGUGUAGCGGUGAAAUGCGUAGAGAUCUGGAGGAAUACCGGUGGCGAAGGCGGCCCCCUGGACAAAGACUGACGCUCAGGUGCGAAAGCGUGGGGAGCAAACAGGAUUAGAUACCCUGGUAGUCCACGCCGUAAACGAUGUCGAUUUGGAGGUUGUGCCCUUGAGGCGUGGCUUCCGGAGCUAACGCGUUAAAUCGACCGCCUGGGGAGUACGGCCGCAAGGUUAAAACUCAAAUGAAUUGACGGGGCCCGCACAAGCGGUGGAGCAUGUGGUUUAAUUCGAUGCAACGCGAAGAACCUUACCUGGUCUUGACAUCCACAGAACUUUCCAGAGAUGGAUUGGUGCCUUCGGGAACUGUGAGACAGGUGCUGCAUGGCUGUCGUCAGCUCGUGUUGUGAAAUGUUGGGUUAAGUCCCGCAACGAGCGCAACCCUUAUCCUUUGUUGCCAGCGGUUAGGCCGGGAACUCAAAGGAGACUGCCAGUGAUAAACUGGAGGAAGGUGGGGAUGACGUCAAGUCAUCAUGGCCCUUACGACCAGGGCUACACACGUGCUACAAUGGCAUAUACAAAGAGAAGCGACCUCGCGAGAGCAAGCGGACCUCAUAAAGUAUGUCGUAGUCCGGAUUGGAGUCUGCAACUCGACUCCAUGAAGUCGGAAUCGCUAGUAAUCGUAGAUCAGAAUGCUACGGUGAAUACGUUCCCGGGCCUUGUACACACCGCCCGUCACACCAUGGGAGUGGGUUGCAAAAGAAGUAGGUAGCUUAACCUUCGGGAGGGCGCUUACCACUUUGUGAUUCAUGACUGGGGUGAAGUCGUAACAAGGUAACCGUAGGGGAACCUGCGGUUGGAUCACAU
This 1527-nucleotide ribosomal RNA is filed under the name Klebsiella pneumoniae. RNAcentral's name for it is "bacterial SSU rRNA". It matches the Rfam family "Bacterial small subunit ribosomal RNA". Lineage: Bacteria; Pseudomonadati; Pseudomonadota; Gammaproteobacteria; Enterobacterales; Enterobacteriaceae. The record is from RNAcentral.